ACGGUGGUGACGAAACAGGUAGACGUAAUAUGCUUAGGACAUAUUGAUUAAACACAUCAUAAGGGUUCAAAUCCCUUCUACCGUA
This 85-nucleotide transfer RNA is filed under the name Pneumocystis canis. RNAcentral's name for it is "tRNA-Thr". It matches the Rfam family "tRNA". Rfam says of the family: Transfer RNA (tRNA) molecules are approximately 80 nucleotides in length. Their secondary structure includes four short double-helical elements and three loops (D, anti-codon, and T loops). Lineage: Eukaryota; Fungi; Ascomycota; Pneumocystomycetes; Pneumocystales; Pneumocystaceae. The record is from RNAcentral.